UACGAAGGGUGCAAACGUUGCUCGGAAUUAUUGGGCGUAAAGGGCUCGUAGGCGGCCAACUAAGUCGGAUGUGAAAUCCCCAGGCUUAACCUGGGAACUGCAUCCGAUACUGGAUGGCUUGAAUUCGGGAGAGGGAUGCAGAAUUCCAGGUGUAGCGGUGAAAUGCGUAGAUAUCUGGAGGAAUACCGGUGGCGAAGGCGGCAUCCUGGACCGGCAUUGACGCUGAGGAGCGAAAGCUAGGGGAGCAAACGGG
RNAcentral lists this ribosomal RNA (253 nucleotides) under uncultured bacterium. Its description in RNAcentral is "partial 16S ribosomal RNA". It matches the Rfam family "Bacterial small subunit ribosomal RNA", at positions 524 to 776 of the family's 1533-position model. The record is from RNAcentral.